AUAUGUGUUUUUUGUGAUCUCUUUCUCAGUUUGCUAGCUGGUAAUGGGGUUGCUGCAUUAGUAAUCUGCUAAUAUCUAGCAACUGCUGCCAAUUUGAGCAUGGUUGCUAACAGAAGCUGGGAUUGUAGUUUUCCCNCACUUCUUUUAUUGCCCUCUUCUAUCUCAUAUGCUUUUUGUUGAUAUAUUUCAAGUAAGGUGUGAGGUAGUGCAGAGAUUUUACCUGACAAAGAAUACAGAAAUGAUAUCAUGACCAGAUCUUUGUAUUUGAUAAUUUUACUUACGGCAUCUAUAAGGGGCACACAGUGUGUUAGGAUGGUUUUGUUGACAUGCAUGCUACCUGUGUGAGUGUGGGGCUGGUAAGUUAGUUAUCUCCUUGUAAAGAGUUGUGGGUAUUUUUGGGGGC
Molecule: unclassified non-coding RNA, 403 nt
Filed under: Hevea brasiliensis (rubber tree)
Lineage: Eukaryota; Viridiplantae; Streptophyta; Magnoliopsida; Malpighiales; Euphorbiaceae
Source: RNAcentral